This 200-nucleotide ribosomal RNA is filed under the name uncultured bacterium. Its description in RNAcentral is "partial 16S ribosomal RNA". It matches the Rfam family "Bacterial small subunit ribosomal RNA", at positions 1301 to 1500 of the family's 1533-position model. The record is from RNAcentral.
CAGGCUGCAACUCGCCUCGCACGAAGUCGGAAUUGCUAGUAAUCGCGGAUCAGCAUGCCGCGGUGAAUACGUUCCCGGGCCUUGUACACACCGCCCGUCACACCAUGGGAGCCGGUAAUACCCGAAGUCAGUAGUCCAACCUCGUGAGGACGCUGCCGAAGGUAGGAUUGGCGACUGGGGUGAAGUCGUAACAAGGUAAC